RNAcentral lists this unclassified non-coding RNA (190 nucleotides) under fungal sp. RNAcentral describes it as "partial internal transcribed spacer region". The stretch from base 1 to 46 matches the Rfam family "Eukaryotic small subunit ribosomal RNA", at positions 1786 to 1831 of the family's 1831-position model. The record is from RNAcentral. Lineage: Eukaryota; Fungi.
AAGUCAUAACAAGGUUUCCGUAGGUGAACCUGCGGAAGGAUCAUUAUAGAUAUGCCCUCGGGCUAACCAUAUAUCCUCAUACACCUGUGAACCGUCGGGGUCUCGGCCCUGCCUUUACAAUGCAUCGUGUCUUUGAACGUCAUGUCUUGAUAACCAUAUACAACUUUCAACAACGGAUCUCUUGGCUCUC